UACGGAGGAUGCAAGCGUUAUCCGGAAUUAUUGGGCGUAAAGCGUCCGCAGGUGGCAAUUCAAGUCUGCUGUUAAAGGUUCUGGCUCAACCAGAAACAGGCAGUGGAAACUGAAUAGCUAGAGUGCGGUAGGGGCAGAGGGAAUUCCCAGUGUAGCGGUGAAAUGCGUAGAGAUUGGGAAGAACACCGGUGGCGAAAGCGCUCUGCUAGGCCGUAACUGACACUCAUGGACGAAAGCUAGGGGAGCGAAUGGG
RNAcentral lists this ribosomal RNA (253 nucleotides) under uncultured bacterium. RNAcentral's name for it is "partial 16S ribosomal RNA". It matches the Rfam family "Bacterial small subunit ribosomal RNA", at positions 524 to 776 of the family's 1533-position model. The record is from RNAcentral.